AGUAGUUUCGAGUCCUGGCGUCAAGGGCGAACGCUGGCGGCGUGCUUAACACGUGGCAAGUCGAACGGAAAGGACCCUUCGGGGUACGUCGAGUGGCGAACGGGUGAGUAACACGUGGGUGAUCUGCCCUGCACUUUGGGAUAAGCCUGGGAAACUGGGUCUAAUACCGAAUAGGACCGCGCUCUUCAUGGGGUGUGGUGGAAAGCUUUUGCGGUGUGGGACUGGGCCCGCGGCCUAUCAGCUUGUUGGUGGGGUAAUGGCCUACCAAGGCGACGACGGGUAGCCGGCCUGAGAGGGUGACCGGCCACACUGGGACUGAGAUACGGCCCAGACUCCUACGGGAGGCAGCGGUGGGGAAUAUUGCACAAUGGGCGCAAGCCUGAUGCAGCGACGCCGCGUGAGGGAUGACGGCCUUCGGGUUGUAAACCUCCUUCAGUAGGGACGAAGCGCAAGUGACGGUACCUAUAGAAGAAGGACCGGCCAACUACGUG
Molecule: ribosomal RNA, 491 nt
Filed under: uncultured Mycobacterium sp.
Lineage: Bacteria; Bacillati; Actinomycetota; Actinomycetes; Mycobacteriales; Mycobacteriaceae
Description: bacterial SSU rRNA
Rfam family: Bacterial small subunit ribosomal RNA
Source: RNAcentral